CCUACGGGAGGCAGCAGUGGGGAAUCUUGGACAAUGGGGGCAACCCUGAUCCAGCCAUGCCGCGUGAGUGAUGAAGGCCUUAGGGUCGUAAAGCUCUUUCGCCUGUGAUGAUAAUGACAGUAGCAGGUAAAGAAACCCCGGCUAACUCCGUGCCAGCAGCCGCGGUAAUACGGAGGGGGUUAGCGUUGUUCGGAAUUACUGGGCGUAAAGCGCGCGUAGGCGGACCAGAAAGUUGGGGGUGAAAUCCCGGGGCUCAACCCCGGAACUGCCUCCAAAACUCCUGGUCUUGAGUUCGAGAGAGGUGAGUGGAAUUCCGAGUGUAGAGGUGAAAUUCGUAGAUAUUCGGAGGAACACCAGUGGCGAAGGCGGCUCACUGGCUCGAUACUGACGCUGAGGUGCGAAAGUGUGGGGAGCAAACAGGAUUAGAUACCCUGGUAGUCCACACCGUAAACGAUGAAUGCCAGUCGUCGGGUAGCAUGCUAUUCGGUGACACACCUAACGGAUUAAGCAUUCCGCCUGGGGAGUACGGUCGCAAGAUUAAAACUCAAAGGAAUUGACGGGG
This 562-nucleotide ribosomal RNA is filed under the name uncultured bacterium. RNAcentral describes it as "bacterial SSU rRNA". It matches the Rfam family "Bacterial small subunit ribosomal RNA", at positions 338 to 918 of the family's 1533-position model. The record is from RNAcentral.